RNAcentral lists this microRNA precursor (74 nucleotides) under Ovis aries (sheep). RNAcentral describes it as "miRNA (ENSOARG00000023058.1)". Lineage: Eukaryota; Metazoa; Chordata; Mammalia; Artiodactyla; Bovidae. The record is from RNAcentral.
AGGGUGACCCACCGUCCUGGUUUGCCAGGGACUGAGGGUUUUUCAGGACACUGGACAUUCAGAGUCAGACUGGA